This 2048-nucleotide long non-coding RNA is filed under the name Homo sapiens (human). RNAcentral describes it as "HSALNT0387666". Lineage: Eukaryota; Metazoa; Chordata; Mammalia; Primates; Hominidae. The record is from RNAcentral.
CUGUGCAGCCUGCCAGGCCCUUGUGUGAGUCUAGGACAGAUGAGGAACGCAGGAAUUUAAUUCCAGAUGAUUACCUUCCUCCUUUUGAACGCUGAAUCUUGCAGGAGAGCUGCCAGGGCUCUUCACAAAUCGAAGGCAAUUCAGAUGGUGGGUGGUCUCCUAAUCACCAGGCAAUUAGAUGUGAGGAAGCAUUUCCCCGCAGACGUGCGCAUUUAUUCAGCUGCUUGGUGAGCUCAGCGCCGGCCUCCUCCUGCAUCCCGACAGCGCAGGAAGCCGGGCCUCCGCGUCAGUGCCUGGGAACCGCCUGAGGAUUUCUGGGCGACCAGGAGCCAGGGCCGCCACCGUUCCCGGGACGGGGAAGAGGAGGUUCACAUUUCACUCCUGGAAGGAGAAAAUGGAAAAUGUUCUACCGGGAGGCACGAAUCACUCUGGCACAUGCGGUGGUAGCUGCAGCAGGAACGAAUUCAGCCCAUGACAUUUGAGUAGAUUGCUGGUGAGACAGCAGCCACUGCUCCCAGGCCCGACAACAGGGGCAGCACCAAAGCUGGUCAGUGUUUCCUCCUUACAGGUCUGAAGGUGCUGCAGAGGAGGGUGCUUCCCAGAGAUCACCCCUGUGACAGACAGAUCGAUUGAAGGACCCCUGAAUGGCUGAAUUGAGAAGAACAAGCAUAUUAGGAGGCCAUACAAUGGGAGCCUCUCAGGCAGACAGACAAAGCCGUGGAAACUGCAGACUUAUUUGUAUGUUCUGGUAAACACCUUUGCUUCAUUUUCCCCGUCUCCGCCUGGACUGAGGGUCACCUCACCUCUCCUGGUGUCCAGAGCCUCCUUCAGGACAGAUGUUGCAAACCUGAGUUCUCACAAACAGCGGGGUCCAGCCCUUCUCAACACUGGAAAGCCCUUGAGCCAUCUUUGAUUUGUGUGUUUUGAUCUAAUUGCACUACUGCUUGCAAUGCUUGUUUUUAGCGGUGAGUGCUGGUUUAAUUUGUUUCUUUCUGGUCUCCCAGCCCCACUCCAGAAUUUUGGCUCCUGGAGAGGAGGGGCCCUGAACUGGCAUUUUCAGUGAAGCAUCCCAGUGCCUUGAAUCCAGUAAGCAGCCAGGUGUCUGUUGGCUUCAUGGUUUAACAACCUACCAUUUGAAGAAUCGCAGAGAUGAAUUAAAAAGAGCCCCGGAGAGGCUCCCCGAUCCAGUUGCACUUCCUGCUUAAGCAAAGUAAAGAAAAACAGGAAUGAAAACAUAACCCAAUGGGUUAGUUCCAUGCUGGCCAUUGAUGAGGUUGCAGCCACCAUCAGAAGAAGGCCAAACGGUUAGAAAGACACGGCGGUGAGGAAGAUGAGCCUCAUUAUCGACUGUCACCUGCAGCCCUGCACAGGUGCUCAGAAUCUAACACUUGAUGGCUGGUUGAGAUUCCCGGAGUCCUAAUUAGGAAUGAGGAGUCAGGCUGGCAGGACCCAGGGAAAGCAAAAAGAGAAGGCAGAGAAGCUCCAAGUCUGCCUGUCUUCGUGAUCCAGAACACGUAGUCCUGCUGCACAAGUAACUCACAAUCUUCCUGUGUCCAGCUGUCAUUAGACCCUUGGCUGAUAGAAAAAUGCAAGUUAGCACACUGCAGCCUCGGUGUCGUCAGUACUGCACGUCACUCUCUCCAGCACACCGCGGCCUCGGCGUCAUCAGCACUGCACGUCGCUCUCUCCAGCACACCGCGGCCUCGGCGUCGUCAGCACUGCACGUCGCUCUCUCCAGCACACCGCGGCCUCAGCGUCAUCAGCACUGCACGUCGCUCUCUCCAGCACACCGCGGCCUCGGCGUCGUCAGCACUGCACGUCGCUCUCUCCAGCACACCGCGGCCUCGGUGUUGUCAGUACUGCACGUCGCUCUCUCCAGCACACAGCACAAGCACCAUCCUAUCAAGUCCCCAGCAAGCCUUUGUCUCCUUGCAGUCAGCUCCUCUCUUGCUGGCCUGCCUGUUGCCUCCUUGCUGUGUAUUUUCCUACUUUCUCUAAUUUGCCUUUUUUUUUUAUUUUUGAGAUGAAAUUUUGCCUCAGCCUCCCAA